Molecule: RNA transcript, 3296 nt
Organism: Morus notabilis
Lineage: Eukaryota; Viridiplantae; Streptophyta; Magnoliopsida; Rosales; Moraceae
Gene name: protein FAR1-RELATED SEQUENCE 3
Exons: 7
Source: RefSeq, a predicted model, not a curated record
CUCCUCCCUCCGACUCUGUAAUCGCUCGGCGGCGAAACCCUGAAGAGCGACCCCUAAACGCCGUCGAUUUGGCCCUUCUUCGCUCCAGAUUGGAUAUACAUUUACUUCCAUAGGUAUAAUUAUAGAAAAUGUGGUGUACUGCCUUCUAGUUGGCUCAUAAAAUAUAAUUAUAAGUCUUUGCAUAGUGAAUAAUUAUGGAUGUUGAAGUGAUUGAUGUGGAAGGGAUGGGUCAUCGUGCAAUGGCGGAUGAUGGAGAUGCCGAACCCAAUGAAGGUGGAGACACAAAUUCCACGGUUCACGAUGAUGAAGAUGGGAUUAGCGAGCCAUAUGUUGGCAUGGAAUUUGACUCUGAGGAUGCUGCCAAGACUUUCUAUGACGAGUACGCAAGACGUUUGGGUUUUAACUCGAAAGUUAGUCAGUCUAGCUCUAGCCGGUCUAAACCUGAUUGCAUGACGAUCUCUCGGGAGUUUGUAUGUGGCAGAGAGGGUUUGAAAAGAAGGCAUGGUGAUACUUGUGAGGCAAUGCUUAGGGUAGAAUUGAAAGGUCAAGAAAAGUGGGUUGUUACAAAAUUUGUAAAGGAGCACAGCCAUGCCAUGGUUGGUCCCAGCAAAGUUCAUUAUCUUCGGCCUCGUAGGCAUUUUGCUGGCACUGCAAAGAAUGUGGCUGAAGCUUACCAAGGGGUGGGGACAGUUCCUAGUGGUGUUAUGUUUGUCUCAAUGGAUGGAAACCGUGUUCCCGUAGAGAAAAAUGUUAGGAACUCUCUUCCUGUGGAGUCGAACCGGUUAGUUAAGAACAUUGCAACAAUAAAUUAUCCAGUUAGGCCUGGUAGUCGAAAAAGGACACUAGGGAGGGAUGCUCAGAAUUUGCUGGAGUAUUUCAAGAAAAUGCAAGCUGAGAACCCAGGCUUCUUCUAUGCCAUACAACUUGAUGAAGAUAAUCACAUGACUAAUGUGUUUUGGGUUGAUGCGAGGUCAAGAACAGCUUACAGUCAUUUUGGUGAUGCAGUAACUCUGGAUACUUCAUACAGGGUAUAUCAGUACAGGGUGCCCUUUGCUCCAUUUACUGGGGUGAAUCAUCAUGGUCAGACAGUUUUGUUUGGUUGUGCGUUACUUCUAGAUGAAUCAGAAGCUACUUUUACAUGGCUUUUCAAGACUUUUCUUACGGCAAUGAAUGAUCGCCCACCUGUCUCCAUUACCACUGAUCAAGACAGAGCAAUACAGGUUGCAGUUGCUAAUGCUUUUCCAGAAUCUCGCCACUGUAUUAGUAAGUGGCAUGUUUUAAGAGAAGGCCAGGAGAAGCUGGCUCAUGUUUGUCAUGCUCAUCCAAAUUUUCAGUUGGAACUUUAUAACUGUAUCAAUUUGACUGAAACUGUUGAGGAGUUUGAAUCCUCUUGGAAUUCUAUCCUUGAUAAAUAUGAUCUCAGAAGAAAUGAUUGGCUGCAAUCUUUAUAUAAUGCCCGUGCUCAAUGGGUUCCUGUUUAUUUUCGGGAUUCCUUUUUUGCUGCAAUUUCUCCAAAUAAAGGGUAUGAUGGUUCCUUCUUCGAAGGUUAUGUAAAUCAACAGACAACUUUACCAAUGUUCUUUAGGCAAUAUGAAAGAGCUUUAGAGAACUGGUUUGAAAAAGAAAUAGGUGCGGAUUUUGAUACAAUUUGCACAACUCCAGUAUUGAGGACACCAUCUCCUAUGGAGAAACAGGCAGCCGACCUUUAUACAAGAAAAAUUUUCACAAAAUUUCAAGAAGAGCUAGUUGAAACUUUUGUGUAUACUGCAAAUAGGAUUGAUGGUGAUGGAGCCAUUAGCACUUUCAGGGUCGCUAAAUUUGAGGAUGACAAUAAGGCAUAUAUUGUCACGUUGAACCAUCCUGAGUUAAGAGCUGACUGUAGUUGUCAAAUGUUUGAGUAUUCAGGCAUUCUUUGUAGACAUGUUUUGACCGUUUUUACUGUGACCAAUGUACUUAAAUUGCCUUCUCAUUACAUUCUGAAACGUUGGACAAGAAAUGCAAAGACUGGAUCUGGUUUAGAUGAACGUAGUGCUGACAUACAAGGUCAAGAGUCUCUAACCUUGCGGUACAACAAUCUAUGUCGGGAAGCCAUUAGAUAUGCAGAGGAAGGUGCAAUUGCUACAGAAACUUACAAUGCAGCAAUGAAUGCCCUUAGAGAUGGCGGGAAGAAGGUUACUAUUGUGAAGAAAAACGUUGCUAAAGUGCCACCUCCUACCUCUCAGGUUAGUGGGACUGGAUAUGAUGAUAGGAAGAGCUCGAUGUUAGCUUCAGAUGCAACCCCAUUGUUGUGGCCACACCAAGAUGAAGUGCUAAGGCGAUUUAAUCUUAAUGAUGCUGGAGCUCCUGUGCAAAAUGUUGCUGACUUGAAUUUGCCACGUAUGGCCCCUGUUUCUCUUCACAGAGAUGAUGGUACUGAAAACAUGGUUGUACUCCCUUGUUUAAAGUCAAUGACUUGGGUCAUGGAGAAUAAGAAUUCAACACCAGGGAACAGAGUCGCUGUCAUUAAUUUGAAGCUGCAAGAUUAUAGCAGGAGUCCAUCAGCAGAGUCGGAGGUUAAGUUUCAGCUAUCGAGAGUCUCAUUGGAACCGAUGUUGAGGUCUAUGGCCUACAUCAGUGAACAACUCUCAACACCAGCUAAUAAGGUUGCCGUGAUAAAUCUGAAGCUUCAAGACACUGAGACAACAACAGGGGAGUCAGAGGUUAAAUUUCAAGUUUCGAGGGACACAUUAGGCGCCAUGCUGAGAUCAAUGGCCUAUAUUCGCGAGCAGCUCUCAAAUCCUAGCGAAAGCCAGUCAGAGCCUCUACCCAAGAAGCAGCGGAAGUGACGCCGUUAUAAUUAUUUUCUUCCCGUACUGUACCCCAGGUGUGUGCGACCACCUAACUACUAAGCGCAAAGGUCAUGUGAUCAGACUAAGAAACGACGAAAACCGGAAAAGCCCAAGUGAGGCAAGUGGGGGGAAAACUCGGUUACUCCCGCUGAUCUUUUCACGUAGCAAAGGAAUUAUCUUGCUAAACAUGGGAGUUGUGAGAAUUGAUUUCAUUGAAUGUCUUGUAUAUUCUUGUUCUUUAAUUGCUAUCUGUAGAUAUUCUCUUGGCAAAUAAGAUUCCUUGAAAAACCAAGUUAUGUCAAAGUGUUUCCAAUGAUAUCUGCGGAACGGGAAUACAGCUUGGUUGUUUUUCUUUCAAGCCUUUUACUCUCUAUCACUUUCUCCGGAAUAUAAUUCCCACUGAAUACUGCGCAUCAAACGCCUCCUUAGAAAUUUCAAGUUUUGCUUCCUAUGAUGUGUUUAGUUGCA